Hipposideros armiger (great roundleaf bat) is the source of this 389-nucleotide long non-coding RNA. RefSeq lists it as uncharacterized. Lineage: Eukaryota; Metazoa; Chordata; Mammalia; Chiroptera; Hipposideridae. The transcript has 3 exons. The record is from RefSeq and is a predicted model, not a curated record.
GAAACGCCAGAGAGGCACACCUCCCCAGUGUCGAUUAACCAUCAGGCUUCUGGUUUAUACAUCAGUUCCUUGUGCAUCGGGUCAGUGUGAGUCAGCCCCCAGGCUGAGUGACCCUGGGUCCUCAGGAAAGCCUGAAUGUGUGACUUGCAAAGCUGAGACAUCCUUGACAUCUCUUCAUAAACUGGCACUGCUGCCUCCAACCUCAUUCACAACUGUAGACUAGAACAAGACUGAUGGGAGAGUCACAUGGGAUCUGCGCUGUGUGAGACAAGGAAAUUUAAACACGUGACUUGCAUUGUGCUUUUAUUGGAAAGCACUGGAUUAGAGGAUUACCUUAAACCAGAACCCAGAUUCAAACCCAGGCUGGCCUGUCUCCACGGACUUGCUCU